GUGAAUCAUCGAAUCUUUGAACGCACAUUGCGCCCAUUGGUAUUCCAUUGGGCAUGUCUGUUUGAGCGUCAUUACAACCCUCGGUCACAACCGGUUUUGAGUUGGCCCGGGCCUCGCGCCCCGCCCGCUUUAAAGUUGUAAGCUCUGCUGGCCUCCGCGCCCGACCAGAACAUAGUAAAUCUCAUGCCUUGUUCAACGGUUAAGCACGGACGGUUCGGCCUGAACAAAACCUCCAAACUCAAGGUUUGACCUCAGAUCAGACAAGGAUACCCGCUGAACUUAAGCAUAUCAAUAAGCGGA
This 300-nucleotide unclassified non-coding RNA is filed under the name uncultured Orbiliaceae. RNAcentral's name for it is "sequence contains 5.8S rRNA gene, ITS2". The stretch from base 1 to 71 matches the Rfam family "5.8S ribosomal RNA", at positions 84 to 154 of the family's 154-position model. Lineage: Eukaryota; Fungi; Ascomycota; Orbiliomycetes; Orbiliales. The record is from RNAcentral.